Molecule: transfer RNA, 74 nt
Filed under: Zingiber officinale
Lineage: Eukaryota; Viridiplantae; Streptophyta; Magnoliopsida; Zingiberales; Zingiberaceae
Rfam family: tRNA
About the family: Transfer RNA (tRNA) molecules are approximately 80 nucleotides in length.
Source: Rfam by way of RNAcentral
GCUUUCAUUGCUCAGUUGGUUAGAGCAUCCGUUUAGUAAGCGGGAGGUCUUGAGUUCAACUCUCAAUGAAAGCA